This 73-nucleotide transfer RNA is filed under the name Stegodyphus mimosarum. It matches the Rfam family "tRNA". Rfam says of the family: Transfer RNA (tRNA) molecules are approximately 80 nucleotides in length. Their secondary structure includes four short double-helical elements and three loops (D, anti-codon, and T loops). Further hydrogen bonds mediate the characteristic L-shaped molecular structure. tRNAs have two regions of fundamental functional importance: the anti-codon, which is responsible for specific mRNA codon recognition, and the 3' end, to which the tRNAs corresponding amino acid is attached (by aminoacyl-tRNA synthetases). tRNAs cope with the degeneracy of the genetic code in two manners: having more than one tRNA (with a specific anti-codon) for a particular amino acid; and 'wobble' base-pairing, i.e. permitting non-standard base-pairing at the 3rd anti-codon position. The record is from Rfam by way of RNAcentral. Lineage: Eukaryota; Metazoa; Arthropoda; Arachnida; Araneae; Eresidae.
GCCUUCGUGGUGUAGUGGUCAGUACGCUCGACGUGUAACCAAGAGGUCCGUGGUUCGAUUCCCGGCGAAGGGU